RNAcentral lists this microRNA precursor (183 nucleotides) under Oryza glumipatula. RNAcentral describes it as "MIR812 microRNA precursor family". It matches the Rfam family "MIR812 microRNA precursor family". The record is from Rfam by way of RNAcentral. Lineage: Eukaryota; Viridiplantae; Streptophyta; Magnoliopsida; Poales; Poaceae.
AAAGAGGACAGUUUUACAUUGUUCAUAUCUAACGUUUAACCAUCCGUUUUAUUUAAAAAAAUUUUAUGAUUAGUAUUUUUGUUGUUAUUUUUACGUGUGACUAAUUUUUUUUUAAUUUGUAAUAUUUUUUAAAUGAAACGGAUGAUUAAACAUUGAAUACGAAAAUCUACAAUUACACUUAAU